UAGGGAAUAUUGCACAAUGAGCGAAAGCUUGAUGCAGCAACGCCGCGUGCGCGAUGACGGCCUUCGGGUUGUAAAGCGCUUUUCGGGGAGAUGAGGAAGGACAGUAUCCCCGGAAUAAGUCUCGGCUAACUACGUGCCAGCAGCCGCGGUAACACGUAGGAGGCAAGCGUUAUCCGAAUUUACUGGGCGUAAAGCGCGUGCAGGCGGUUCGGUAAGUUGGAUGUGAAAUCUCCCGGCUCAACUGGGAGGGGACGUUCAAUACUGUCGGACUUGAGGACGAGAGAGGGAGGGGGAAUUCCCGGGGGAGUGGGGAAAUGCGUAGAUAUCGGGAGGAACACCAGUGGCGAAAGCGGCCUGCUGGAUCGUUCCUGACGCUGAGACGCGAAAGCUAGGGGAGCGAACGG
Molecule: ribosomal RNA, 404 nt
Filed under: uncultured bacterium
Lineage: Bacteria
Description: bacterial SSU rRNA
Rfam family: Bacterial small subunit ribosomal RNA
Source: RNAcentral